Molecule: long non-coding RNA, 169 nt
Organism: Heteronotia binoei (common prickly gecko)
Lineage: Eukaryota; Metazoa; Chordata; Lepidosauria; Squamata; Gekkonidae
Exons: 3
Source: RefSeq, a predicted model, not a curated record
GGAAAAGCCGGCCUACCUGGGCCAAUAGGACUGGACGGCACUCCAGGAAGUACCGGGCCCAAGGGCGAAAAGGGUGAAGUUGGCGUUGGCAUGCCAGGGCCUCCCGGCCUCAAGGGAGCAGAAGGAGAAAAGGGGGCAUUGGGACUUCCUGGAUCCCAAGGGCAGAAGG